CAUAAAGUAGCAAUACUUUGGUGGCGACCGGCGCACGGGUGAAUAACGCGUAUGCAACCUAUCUAUCAGAGGGGAAUAACCCGGCGAAAGUCGGACUAAUACCGCAUAAAACAGGGGCACCGCAUGGUGAUAUUUGUUAAAGAAAUUCGCUGAUAGAUGGGCAUGCGUUCCAUUAGGUAGUUGGUGAGGUAACGGCUCACCAAGCCGACGAUGGAUAGGGGAACUGAGAGGUUGGUCCCCCACACUGGUACUGAGACACGGACCAGACUCCUACGGGAGGCAGCAGUGAGGAAUAUUGGUCAAUGGGCGAGAGCCUGAACCAGCCAAGUCGCGUGAAGGAAGAAGGAUCUAUGGUUCGUAAACUUCUUUUGCAGGGGAAUAAAGUGCAGGACGUGUCCUGUUUUGUAUGUACCCUGAGAAUAAGGAUCGGCUAACUCCGUGCCAGCAGCCGCGGUAAUACGGAGGAUCCGAGCGUUAUCCGGAUUUAUUGGGUUUAAAGGGUGCGUAGGUGGUUUGAUAAGUCAGCGGUGAAAGUUUGCAGCUUAACUGUAAAAAUGCCGUUGAAACUGUCGGACUUGAGUGUAAAUGAGGUAGGCGGAAUGCGUGGUGUAGCGGUGAAAUGCUUAGAUAUCACGAAGAACUCCGAUUG
This 649-nucleotide ribosomal RNA is filed under the name uncultured Porphyromonadaceae bacterium. Its description in RNAcentral is "bacterial SSU rRNA". It matches the Rfam family "Bacterial small subunit ribosomal RNA", at positions 70 to 715 of the family's 1533-position model. The record is from RNAcentral. Lineage: Bacteria; Pseudomonadati; Bacteroidota; Bacteroidia; Bacteroidales; Porphyromonadaceae.